GAUGAACGCUGGCGGCGUGCCUAAUACAUGCAAGUCGAGCGAACAGACGAGGAGCUUGCUCCUCUGACGUUAGCGGCGGACGGGUGGGUAACACGUGGAUAACCUACCUAUAAGACUGGGAUAACUUCGGGAAACCGGAGCUAAUACCGGAUAAUAUAUUGAACCGCAUGGUUCAAUAGUGAAAGACGGUUUUGCUGUCACUUAUAGAUGGAUCCGCGCCGCAUUAGCUAGUUGGUAAGGUAACGGCUUACCAAGGCGACGAUGCGAAGCCGACCUGAGAGGGUGAUCGGCCACACUGGAACUGAGACACGGUCCAGACUCCUACGGGAGGCAGCAGUAGGGAAUCUUCCGCAAUGGGCGAAAGCCUGACGGAGCAACGCCGCGUGAGUGAUGAAGGUCUUCGGAUCGUAAAACUCUGUUAUUAGGGAAGAACAAAUGUGUAAGUAACUAUGCACGUCUUGACGGUACCUAAUCAGAAAGCCACGGCUAACUACGUG
This 497-nucleotide ribosomal RNA is filed under the name uncultured bacterium. Its description in RNAcentral is "partial 16S ribosomal RNA". It matches the Rfam family "Bacterial small subunit ribosomal RNA", at positions 28 to 507 of the family's 1533-position model. The record is from RNAcentral.